Lathyrus oleraceus (garden pea) is the source of this 1302-nucleotide long non-coding RNA. RefSeq lists it as uncharacterized. The record is from RefSeq and is a predicted model, not a curated record. Lineage: Eukaryota; Viridiplantae; Streptophyta; Magnoliopsida; Fabales; Fabaceae. The transcript has 2 exons.
AACAAAAAAACGGAUCCACAAUUACUCUAGCCCAAAUUCGGAUUCAUUAUGAACACACCUUGACCAUCUCACAUGUGUGAAACUUAAAUCUACGACUUCAUCCCUUCCCCCAGAAGAACGCGAAUCGUGGAUGUGGUCAGCUGACUGCAACUCAGUGUAACAACGCGGCCACAAAAGAGAACUUAGCACAACAUCGAAGCGAACACGUCUCUCAAAUUUGAGUUUGGAAUGAAGAAGAUAAAGGCAAGAAACGAGGAUGCGACACCAAACUAAACCAUCGUCAGAACUGAAGUCACCUCACGUACGGAUACAAAAAAGAAGGGAGAAGAAUGACCUACCAAAAUCGAUGCGUUAUUGAUGUUGAAUCUCGAUGAAGAUUGGGAAGCACUAGCGUUCGACGAUGGAAGUGGAACGUGAGGAUGAUUGACUUGUCAAGAGGUUAUGUAGGUUAUUUUGGGAGAUCUUGAAUUUGAAUGGUCCAUAAACUGGUUGAACCAUGUUGUUUGGAGCAAGUUAAGGAGUGAAUCAUGUGGAUGAAUUACUGAUUGGGGACUAUAAGACCCCAAAUUUGACCCUAAGAUCCCUCAUGCUAUCUCAUCAUAUGCACUGGCAUUGGGAUCACACAUUGGCAUCCUCCUUAUCCCUCAUUCAUUGGGUUUGCAGCGGGAGAGAUCACCAAGCACAUUUGAUUGUAUCAUACUUCAUUUUUCUUUGUUUACUAACCAAAAUACCAAAAAUAUGUUAAUGUAUAGUUUGUUGCUUUUGUAGGUAGUGUGCAUGCUCACCUAUGCUCAAUUAAGCCAAUAUCUAGGGUUUGAGACCCUCAAUGCAAGGAGCACAAUCAAGAAUUGAUUUACAUUGUCUCUAAUCAUCAUAUAUGGAUCCCCAUGUUCUUAAUUAGUUAAUUUGAUCAAGAUUUCAUCAAGAGUUUGAAGUUUGUUUGCCUUGGAAACCCUAAUUCAUCUAGGUAUCUAGUGUAACUUCUUCAACAAGUUUCUUCAACAAUUGAUCAAAUAUUUCAAGGGAUACUUCACAUUACAUCAUCCUAUGCAUAUGUGAUCCUCCAUGAGUCCGAAAAGUCAAUAGAAUAUCAAGCUAUCAAGUUGGUUCAUGGUAGUUGACCAGAGAAAGUCAACGGACCAAAAUUGGGAUUCCCUAGACCCUAUCUCCUACAAUUUUGUCAUAUGAAAAUGCUUCCAAGAGAAACGUUACUCAAAAUGACAUUCCAAACUACUUUCAUGUUGAAGUCAAGAGCUAGUUUUUCUUGGAAUGUAAUUUAUUAUGGUAAACGAUUAUAGGUCA